AGUGAACGCUGGCGGUAGGCCUAACACAUGCAAGUCGAACGGCAGCACAGAGGAGCUUGCUCCUUGAGUGGCGAGUGGCGGACGGGUGAGGAAUACAUCGGAAUCUACUCUGUCGUGGGGGAUAACGUAGGGAAACUUACGCUAAUACCGCAUACGACCUACGGGUGAAAGCAGGGGACCUUCGGGCCUUGCGCGAUUGAAUGAGCCGAUGUCGGAUUAGCUAGUUGGCGGGGUAAAGGCCCACCAAGGCGACGAUCCGUAGCUGGUCUGAGAGGAUGAUCAGCCACACUGGAACUGAGACACGGUCCAGGCUCCUACGGGAGGCAGCAGUGGGGAAUAUUGGACAAUGGGCGCAAGCCUGAUCCAGCCAUACCGCGUGGGUGAAGAAGGCCUUCGGGUUGUAAAGCCCUUUUGUUGGGAAAGAAAUCCAGCUGGCUAAUACCCGGUUGAGAUGACGGUACCCAAAGAAUAAGCACCGGCUAACUUCGUGCCAGCCGCCGCCGCAG
Molecule: ribosomal RNA, 506 nt
Filed under: uncultured bacterium
Lineage: Bacteria
Description: partial 16S ribosomal RNA
Rfam family: Bacterial small subunit ribosomal RNA
Source: RNAcentral